UAGCAACUGAAGGUUAACAAGCUAUUGCAUUAUCGGUAAUAGCUCUAAUGAGUAUAAAUAGAGUUUUCCGACAUUGCCGGGGCACACUUCGAAUCUUCAAGUUGUUACUAACAAUCUUGUCUCGUAUUGUUAUAUCACUUCAUUUUAUUGCUUUGAAAUGAAAUUUCUCAAUUGUUUCAUCUUUUUGAUUGUUUUCGUCUCUCUAGCUUUUGCGAAGACGAUUUAUUAUGAAGGAUGCAUUUCGGCGGGUAAAUGUAGUCCCAACGGGAAUGGAUCACCAUGUUGUGCUGGCCUUAAAUGCAAUCGUAUAUUUAACGAUUAUGCACUGUGUCAAGAUAUCAACCCGACAACGGAAGCAAGUUCUGGUUUCUUUCCCUGGGGAUAAAAAUAAAAGUUGAUUUCUCUUUUAACACAUCCUCGAAUUAUACGCCAUUGAGUCCUUAUGGUCGGCAGCUAAACAUAUCAUGUUCAACACAGCAGGUAAUGAAGAUACGUAAUUGUUCAAAUGAUGACGUCAGCCGUCCAAAUAUAUUGAAGUAAAUCAAUGCGUAAUCUCGUAAUGAAAUUUUCCAUCAUACUUCAAGCGCUCUUUAUUACCUGUGGCAGGUUAGCAGCCGUCUGUAGACACUCAUAGGCGUAAUUUUCAAGCAUUUGUUAAAAAAACUAAUUUUUAUAUUGCGUGCAAUAUAUAAACUAUUAUCCGACGAACAUAAAAAAAAAUUAAAAUUUUCUUUCUCCCCAUUGAUCUAAAUUAUUGUUUUGUUAAAUCCAAACUUCUAACUAUUAAAAUUUGGCACGAUGGCUUCCCAAGUAGAAACGGUUUCACCGAAAUUCAUAAUAAAAUUUAAAACUACUUCAGAAAAAUGAUCUUCAGAAAAAUUAUUCACAUCAGUUAACUUUUAAUUAAAUAAGAAUCUUCCAGAACCUGAGAAUAAAAAAAAAUUAUUUUUCAUAAAAAAUUUCAUUGUUUCUACACUAGUUGGCCAUUUCGCUCUACCAUUUUAUUUAUUAUUUGAUGUUAUAAAAAUUAUGUUUUCGAACUAUUUAUUCAAAUAAAUUUAAUUAGAAUAAUAUAAA
This is a long non-coding RNA of Microplitis mediator, 1077 nucleotides long. RefSeq lists it as uncharacterized. The record is from RefSeq and is a predicted model, not a curated record. The transcript is spliced from 3 exons. NCBI's taxonomy places the organism in Eukaryota, Metazoa, Arthropoda, Insecta, Hymenoptera, Braconidae.